AGGGUGAACGCUGGCGGCGUGCUUAAGACAUGCAAGUCGAACGAGAGAGCUUGCUCUCUAGUGGCGCACGGGUGAGUAACGCGUAACUGACCUACCCCGAAGUCUGGAAUAACUGGCCGAAAGGUCAGCUAAUACCGGAUACCCAGAUGACUCGUGAGUCAUCUGGAAAGAUUUAUUGCUUUGGGAUGGGGUUACGUUCCAUCAGCUAGUUGGUAGGGUAAAGGCCUACCAAGGCGACGACGGAUAGCCGGCCUGAGAGGGUGGCCGGCCACAGGGGGCACUGAGACACGGGGCCCCACUCCUACGGGAGGCAGCAGUUAGGAAUCUUCCACAAUGGGCGAAAGCCUGAUGGAGCGACGCCGCGUGAGGGAUGAAGGUUUUCGGAUCGUAAACCUCUGAAUCAGGGACGAAAGGCGCUUUAAGCGAGAUGACGGUACCUGAGUAAUAGCACCGGCUAACUCCGUGCCAGCAGCCGCGGUAA
Molecule: ribosomal RNA, 481 nt
Filed under: uncultured bacterium
Lineage: Bacteria
Description: SSU rRNA
Rfam family: Bacterial small subunit ribosomal RNA
Source: RNAcentral